GACGAACGCUGGCGGCGUGCUUAACACAUGCAAGUCGAACGGAAAGGCCAUGCUUUUGUGGGGUGCUCGUGUGGCGAGCGGGUGAGUAACACGUGAGUAAACUGCCCCUGUCUUUGGGAUAUCUCCAGGAAAAUGGGGCUAAUACCGGAUAGGAGCUCCUGCUGCACGGUGGGGGAUGGAAAGAUUCGGCGGUUCGGGAUCGACUCGCGGCUUAUCAGCUUGUUGAUGGGGUAGUGGCUUACCAAGGCUUUGACGGGUAGCCGGCCUGGGAGGGUGACCGGCCACAUUGGGCCUGCGAGACGGCCCAGACUCCUACGGUCGGCAGCGGGGGGGAAUAUUGCAGAGUGGGCGGAAGCCUGAUGCAGCAACGCCGCGAGCGGGAUAACGGCCUUCGGGUGGUGAACCGCUUUGUCCUGUGACGAAGCGUGAGUGACGGUAAUGGGUAAGGAAGCACCGGCUAACUACGUG
This 468-nucleotide ribosomal RNA is filed under the name uncultured bacterium. RNAcentral's name for it is "partial 16S ribosomal RNA". It matches the Rfam family "Bacterial small subunit ribosomal RNA", at positions 28 to 507 of the family's 1533-position model. The record is from RNAcentral.